GCUGAGGCCAUUGCGAGGUUUCGAAGGCACUCGGUUGCCUGCUUCUCGCGGGAAGGUCUGAGUCAUUGCAUUGCUCUCCCGUGAUGGGAGUGGCUUUGACAAAGUCAGGGGGUAACAGAAACGUAUUCCUCGUAGCUGUAUGUCCGUGGAAGCCAUUUGGUUGAGGUCUGGCUUCGAGGAAAUGAGAUGAGUCCUAGCAAGCGCGUGUAGCGAGAUUGGUACCAAAACUCAAUUCAGACUACAGUAGC
Molecule: RNase P RNA, 248 nt
Filed under: Hymenolepis diminuta
Lineage: Eukaryota; Metazoa; Platyhelminthes; Cestoda; Cyclophyllidea; Hymenolepididae
Description: Nuclear RNase P
Rfam family: Nuclear RNase P
About the family: Ribonuclease P (RNase P) is a ubiquitous endoribonuclease, found in archaea, bacteria and eukarya as well as chloroplasts and mitochondria.
Source: Rfam by way of RNAcentral